Helianthus annuus (common sunflower) is the source of this 1775-nucleotide RNA transcript. It is a transcript of the gene named E3 ubiquitin-protein ligase RKP-like, with no coding region annotated. The record is from RefSeq and is a predicted model, not a curated record. Lineage: Eukaryota; Viridiplantae; Streptophyta; Magnoliopsida; Asterales; Asteraceae. The transcript has 8 exons.
UCUCUCUCUGGCGAUUCAGAUUUAGGGUUUGUUUCUCCUCACAUAAGAGUUUGUUUCUCUUCAAGUCUACGAUUCCUCUUCAGAUAUGUGUUUGUUUCUUCUUGUUCUUCUUCUUCUUCUUCUUCAGAUCUGCGUAGUAAGCAAGGUAGGUUUAUCUUUUCUUUUUUGCUGAAUAUUUUCUCAUACAAAACUUUUGUAGUCUACAAGCCCUAACUUUUUUACUUUUUUACUGUUUUUCUGAUGGAAACCGAGAAUGGAGGUUGAGAGGCUCUACGACGUCGUUUCCGGUGCUCCGGUGGCAGAGAUCUUCGGUUUGAUGGUUUAGACGGUUGUAGAUGCUCAGAAAUAUGUUUAUUGGCUUCUGUUUUUGGUACCAUGUUUCUCUUUUUGCCAGUUGGAAACAAAGGGGAAUGUAUGCAGCAUGUAUUUGCAUUUCUCAGUUGCUUCUGGUUCUUAGCAAAAUGGAUUUGGUUUUCAGUUAUGUGACUGAAUUUUAUUUAGAAACUCUGGUUGAUUGUUUUUAUGUUUUGCGAAAGAGUGAUCCUCCUUUUGUCUCUACAGGAAUGUUUAUAAAACAAGGACUUGGUUCAUUUGUUACUUUUGUGGUUACCCAUUUCAGCGACCCGAGAAUAUCAAGCACAGAACUAAGAGAUCUACUUCUGCAAUCAAUUUCUGUAUUAGUUCAGUACAAAGAGUUUUUGGCUGCUUUUGAGAGCAACAGGAUGGCAAUAUGGGAAAGGAAUUAAUCCAAGUAGGUAUUGAGGCUGGUGCUAGAUUACUUAUUAUGGAAGAAAUAUUGAGAUGCUAUUUGUGAUCUCAAAGCCAGAUGUUUUCAAGUCCCCUGCUUCAGACACAUACGUAAUAUUCGGCGAAGCAAAAAUAGAGGAUCUGAACUCACAGUUGCGGAGUCAGGCAGCAGAGCAAUUCAAAGCACCUAACCUUAGCAACGUGAUAUCGACGCCUGAGCCAACAGUCGUGGCUCAGGACGAUGAGGAUGUAGACGAGACCGGGGUGGAGCCCAAGGACAUCGAGCUGGUCAUGACUCAAGUCGGGGUCUCAAGACCAAAGGCGGUCAAGGCGUUAAAGGCUGCAGAUGGUGACAUUUUAUCGGCGAUUAUGGAACUCACAACUUGAAAGUGAUUGACUCGUUGUCGAUUUGCUUUUGUUGUUCCUGUAAUGUUUGAGAUUGUUUGAUCAUGUUGUUAUCUACUGUGCAUUGACAAUUGGGUCUUUGCUGAAUUUGAGGAUUUGAGGAAUGAUAAAGGAAAUGGUUUAUUUGAAAUGUGGUUGGGUGUUUGAUAUAGUUUUUGCAUUUUUAAAAUUAUAUUUGACUGAUUUUUUUUAUAUAAGUUGUAUUUUUGUGAUAUUGCAGCCAACAGAUCAGCAUCAGCGGCUUUCCUUAUGCUUUGACAAACUAAUGGGUGAUGUCUCCAGAAGCUUGAAAUCAAGGUUCAUUUAUCAGCUCCCAGCUGUUCGUUUAACGGAUGAACAAGAUGGUCGAUUGAGAGGGUUUUGUUAAUAUUUUGAAGUCUACAGAACUGAGUAGGAUUAAUUACGACCCAGAUAUGCUCGAGGCACGAGAUAUUUAAAUUAUGGAUCUAUACCUAAGUCCGUGUUCAUGUUAGAAACAUUGGGUGUUUUUAUAUCUUUAGUUGUUGAAUAUUAAAAUCCAUGAUGGUGUUUCGUGAUUUGCUUUUGGUUAACUGCCUUUAUGUUUCUUUCCUACUUGUAGAAGUAUACUUUAGUUUGUUUAAUAUUAUAUUAUGUUGUAACAA